This is a long non-coding RNA of Trichechus manatus latirostris (Florida manatee), 422 nucleotides long. RefSeq lists it as uncharacterized. Lineage: Eukaryota; Metazoa; Chordata; Mammalia; Sirenia; Trichechidae. The record is from RefSeq and is a predicted model, not a curated record. The transcript has 3 exons.
AAGCCCGGAAGAAUAGCUGGGGGAAGGACAGAUGAGGAGAGCUGAGAUGAAGUAGCCCCUGGUCAAGCCAGCUCAGGAGCAGAGGAGACUGGAGUAGAAAAUGUCUCCAGCUGCUCUCAGAUAACAUGGACUCUGGCGGACGAAUUCAGUGAUGCCCAAUUUCAAGAAACCAAACAAGUUGCUGCAGAAUUAUUGCAGGAUUCCCCAAGAACAUGCAAAUGAGGAGAAAGUAGGGGAAAAUGAACUAGAUGAGCUGAAUACCCACGAAGUGCCAGGCAUAUUACAUACAUUUUCUCAUAUACUCUUACAGUAUCUCCAGCUUAAGUAAGAAUUAUCACCUCCAUUUUACAGAGGAGGAAACUGAGCUUUUUUCAGAAUUGCAAGGAGCCCUGGUGGCGCAGUGGUUAAGUGUUCGGCUGCUG